Aedes albopictus (Asian tiger mosquito) is the source of this 2578-nucleotide RNA transcript. RefSeq lists it as uncharacterized. NCBI's taxonomy places the organism in Eukaryota, Metazoa, Arthropoda, Insecta, Diptera, Culicidae. The record is from RefSeq and is a predicted model, not a curated record. The transcript is spliced from 3 exons.
ACAUCAACAAAAAUCAUCACGAAACGAAAUCUUAUUUUCUUGUAAAAAUACUAAGAUUUUUGUGAAAAUUUAGUGAAUUCUGGUCCACUAAAAGAAUGGCCCAACAGCCGUUGGAUUUCCUAAAGGAUUACAAUGAACCGGAGGAAACGAAAGCAAAAGUAGCGGCUGCUUUUAUCGCACCGCCCGCACCACAAUCACAAUCACAAAGCUCAGAUGCGAGCGAGUCGAACCCGAAGGGAAGGAAAAUCUUACGCCGCAAGAAACGCGUCGAAGUCACCAAACGGGAGCAACAUCGGGCCCAAGUGCAGGAACGCCGCCGGCAAGGCCGGCAGGUGAUCGAAGUGGAAUGCAACUGCCAUCUGUCCUGCCCGAAGCGGAUCAACCCGGAACACCGCCGGGCACUGAACGCCAAGUACUGGGAGAUGGAUCCGCUGCAGCAACGGGUGUACGUUAAAACCCACACCGUUCCGGGUCCGGUUAAACGGCGACGGGUUCCGGCCGAUCCACUCGGGGGGCUGCAGGAGGUGAAGAAGGCGUUCUCUUAUGCGUUCUAUCUGCCGAACGAGCUCGGUGAGCUGAUGAUGGUGUGCUGUACGUUUUUCCUGAAUACUCUCGGCUUCCGGAAGGGAUGUGGAAAUCAUAUAUAUCGCGCGCACACGAGAGAUACCCUUGCGGACAAGCGUGGCAAGUACGAACGAGACCGGUCCCUAAGAGAUGCUGUUUGGGACGAUAUUCUAUCCUAUUCGCCCAGGACAUAUCACAAAGGAUCCAAAUUCAGCGCCACCGCUAUGUACUUACCAACGAAGCUGACGGCCAAGGCAAUGCAUGCUGAUUUCAAGGCAAGAAGAGACGCUGUUGGUGAGAAGGGGUGUAGUGCAAGCUUUUACUGUGCUGUGCUUCGUGAAAUCGAUGUCCAUUUUGUCGAUAUGGAUGAUUUUGAGAUUCCGGAGCGAAAACCUAUUCCGGUGGUGCAGCCCAAACCACCAAGGACGCCCCCACCGGAACCGAUGCCAGAACCGGAUCCGGUCCCUAAGCCUGUGGAAGUUGUUGAAGUUGAACCGUGCAUUGCAAUGAAAACGGAUGAUUCCCAGCCGGAAUGCUCUUAUCCAGCAUCACUGCCAAUGUAUCAAUCUGUACAACCCGUUGCUGUUGUGACGCAUCAACCCAUGAUGAUGCACUCGUACUCGAUCGAUCAGAAGCCAAUUGUGCCCCAGUAUGUUCCGGUAUCGUACCAUUCGGCUACUAUUCCUUUCCAGACGGUGGCUGUGAAGCAAGAGCCUUACUACGGAAUCAACGUUGAAUCAGCCAGUGUAUCUGAUUCGCAUUUCUCCGAAGAUCAUGCUGAAUACUCGAAUAUGACCGUGGACUAUUCCGAAUCGAACUCUUACCAUGAGCCACCAUAUGAACCGGUCGUUCAAAUCAUCGAUAAGGUAGAACCUAACGCAGAGUUCUUCCCGUCUUUUGUGAAACCUGACCAGCACUCAAUCCCACAAAUCAGUCAAACAGAAUCUUCCCUCAAAGCCCCCUCGGAAGUUCCAAAACCAAAGCGCAAACCAACUAAACCUAAACUAAUAGACCUACCUAAACUGGACUUGGACAUUUCGGAGGGCUAUCCACCGGUGAAACGCACGAAAAAGUUCAUCACCAGAAUUCGCAAUCGAGUCAAGCGACAGCAGCUUCAUCCGGUGGUGAACCAAGGCUGUAAUGCUUGCCACAUGAACUGUAAGGACAAAAUAUCCCUGGAACAGCAGGAGCAGAUCAACAAGCGGUACUGGACAAUGUCCUUCCCCGAGCAGCGGAUGUUCAUGCUGGAGCACACCGAACGCCAUGCAAUCAAACGGCGACGAUCGAAAACCGAACUCGGCUCGACAGUCCGGAAGGGAUUCACCUAUUCAUAUCGGCUAACGGAUUUCCUGGGCCAGUACCAGCAAGUGUGCUGUCAGUUUUAUCUCAACACGCUCGGAUACGGGGCCGGAAGUGGGAACCUCAUUUACCGAGCUCAUCAAGUUGAACUGAGCAGAGCAAUUAGCGACAAUCGUGGCAAAUUUACCAGGGAUACGACUCUGCGAGACACUGUGGACGACGACAUCAUGUCGUACUUCAGCGCGGAAUUGCACGAGAGUGGUGGACCAUUGGACCUUUCAGCUACUGAUUUAUCACCGAAGAAGAUGUACAAUAGGUACGUGGAGCGACAGGCCGCACUGGGCAUCGACAAACCGGGCAGUUUCGCGUUCUACUGGCGGCGUACAAGGGAAUUGAAAGUGAUCUAUGCUCCCAAACCGGAACCGAAAAACCCUGGCCAAUCGAAACCACGCCGGCGACGUCCUGCAGUGAAAGUCUUGAAGCAGCUGGAGAUAGAAACGCUGGUUUUACCUGGCCAAUUUCCAGCCGUUUCGCAAGAGGCGUCUAUGGAUCAUUAGUCAUGAUUCAUUCGGAGAGAAUGCUUGCAACCAUUCUGCAAUAAUAUUAUUGUUAAAAGUAUUUAUUUUAUCAUAUCUAGAAGUAAUCAAGGAUGUACGAGACAUACUCGGCGUACUAAUAAAAAUGUAUGUUCUCACAAAUAAAAAUAAAUUCCCAA